Trifolium pratense (red clover) is the source of this 2197-nucleotide RNA transcript. RefSeq lists it as uncharacterized. NCBI's taxonomy places the organism in Eukaryota, Viridiplantae, Streptophyta, Magnoliopsida, Fabales, Fabaceae. The record is from RefSeq and is a predicted model, not a curated record. The transcript is spliced from 3 exons.
AGUAUAAUUUUGUCGAGAGGCAUGUUAGUAAAACUCAAGGAAACUGAAACCCAACUCUCUCUUUUUCUCUCUUCACAACCGAACCCAACUCCAUAACCAAAAGCAUUGUUCGUGGAAUUCAAGAAAUUGGGAGUUUUCAUCAACAACCUAGUUAAUCUUUGAAGUUCAUCUCACAUUAAUUCAGGCAGGAUAUUAUGGCGGAAAAUCAAAGGGGACCAGGAAGGCCGCGUAAGAAUCAAAGAAGGAACCAAAGGGAGGAUCCGGGAGGGAGUCAAGGGGUCAAUGAGAAUGAAAAUCCUCCGAUACAACAAGAAGAAGAAGAACAACAACAACAACAAGUUAUGAUGCAGAUGAUGCAACAGUUUAUGCAACAGGCUCAACAAUUCAUGCAGCAGCAACAGCAAGGAGUACAUCCUCCUCCAGAAGAAGAAGAAAUUGGGAAUAGAGUCUUUCGUGAAUUUUAUAAGAUGAAACCACCGCUUUAUGAAGGGAGUUUCAAUUGUUUGGAAGCUCAUGGUUGGUUAAAGGAGAUGGAAAAAGUCUUCAAGGUGAUUCGGUGUACAGAAGAAGAGAAAGUGAUGUGUGCUUCUCGUAUGCUUAACGGCGCAGCAAAAACCUGGUGGAAAGGAGCUCUAGCAUACAUGACUGCUUCUCACAUUCCAGUGGAUUGGGAGCACUUUCAGGCGGAAUUUCUUAAGAAGUAUUCUCUAGAUAGGUUUAGGUUCCAGAAAGAGCAGGAGUUUUUCCAAAUUAAGCAGGGGACUAUGUCGGUAUCAGAAUUUAUUGCAAAGUUCGAAGAGAUGGCCCAGUUCUCCCGUCAUUCCGUGUAUUCCCCAGAUGAGGGCAUUGAGGGGUGGAUGAUUAAUCGAUUCAUGUUUGGUCUGAAAGACGAUAUUGGCCACAUUGUGUCUCUGCAGAGUCACAACAGUUUUGCAGAACUAGUACAACAAUGUUAUAUUGCGGAAGCAAGUCUAAAUAAGAUUCAUAACGAAAGGGAGCAAGCAUGGUAGAAAUAGAAAGUUUCAGGUAAGCAGCCAAACUACAUGAAGAAGGAGUAGCCCUUAUUGAGAAAUAAAGGAGCGAAUGAAGCAGAAACCACAAUGUCAGCUAGAGUGUACGGUUUGGAUGCUAAGAAGUCGAAGGGGAACAAUGAUCUCAUUACCGACAACUAUAGAAGAAAGUAAGGGGUCAGAUGCUCCACUAAUAUCAGCACCUUUACUUAUUACAUUGAGUAGAUAAUCGACAGCUCUCUCAGUAAUAAACUCGCCGGGGAUCAAUACUGCCUGGAGGGAAUGGACAUAUAAGCUCCCCCGAAACCUUACCAAUGCUCUCCUUCACCGUUACUUUUUUUUACUUGCAAAAAAUGCAUCUCUAGGGGUCAAACUCAUGAUUAUAUCAUCAAAGGGUGCAUGAUCAGUAAACAACCUGUCUUUAGGUUGCUGCACAGUAGAACUUGUUGCAGCUAAAUACUUCACUCCCGAUAUAAGCCUUUGGACAUGGUCUCUACAAGUUCCAAGGUUAAGUGCAUAAGUGAUAGAUUUAUUCCCAACAAGUUCGCGGACAAUUCCGAAAUCCCUGCAUAAGACUUCAUUUGCUUUGUAACCUGAAAUACCAAGCUCCCAAAAACCUAUAGUAAGCCUCAAUGGAUCAAAUGCAGGAAAGUUCGGAAAGCUGGAAUUAUCAAGCACUGAGAUUCCAGGGAUUUGCUUUAGCAAGCACUUUGCUAUAUUGGCUAAUGCAAUCGCUUGGUCGAAUAAAAUAUCAGGGCUUUCACUAAGUUGAGCUCUAGAAGCAUCUAGGGAUGCCAAAAGCAGGUAACUAGGACUUGUGCUUUGGAGAGUGUGGAGACACCUAGAUAUUUUUUCCUUGUCUACAAUGUCACCUGACAUGUGCAGCAUAGAUGAUUGAGUGAAAGAGCAAAGAACCUUGUGAGUAGACUGUACAAUGAGAUCAGCCCCUUGCUGAAGGGCUGAGCUAGGCAGUUUAGAAUGAAAUCCUAGGUGUGCACCAUGAGCUUCAUCAACGAUCAAAGGAAUUUUCCGAGAAUGACACAACUCAGAAAUAUCGCUCAAGUUACUGCAAACACCAUGAUAAGUAGGUGAAGUGAUGAAAACUGCUGCAGCUUUUUUCCCUUCAAAUUCUAGUUCCUGGAUAGCGUUCAAUACCUGCAACACCAGCCACAGUAAAAAAAAAAAAA